Molecule: ribosomal RNA, 524 nt
Filed under: uncultured Alphaproteobacteria bacterium
Lineage: Bacteria; Pseudomonadati; Pseudomonadota; Alphaproteobacteria
Description: bacterial SSU rRNA
Rfam family: Bacterial small subunit ribosomal RNA
Source: RNAcentral
AUGGGGAAUCUUAGACAAUGGGCGCAAGCCUGAUCUAGCCAUGCCGCGUGAGUGAUGAAGGCCCUAGGGUCGUAAAGCUCUUUCGCCAGGGAUGAUAAUGACAGUACCUGGUAAGGAAACCCCGGCUAACUCCGUGCCAGCAGCCGCGGUAAUACGGAGGGGGUUAGCGUUGUUCGGAAUUACUGGGCGUAAAGCAUACGUAGGCGGAUCAGAAAGUAUAGGGUGAAAUCCCAGGGCUCAACCCUGGAACUGCCUUAUAAACUCCUGGUCUUGAGUUCGAGAGAGGUGAGUGGAAUUCCAAGUGUAGAGGUGAAAUUCGUAGAUAUUUGGAGGAACACCAGUGGCGAAGGCGGCUCACUGGCUCGAUACUGACGCUGAGGUACGAAAGUGUGGGGAGCAAACAGGAUUAGAUACCCUGVAUAGUCCACACCGUAAACGAUGAAUGCCAGUCGUCGGGCAGUAUACUGUUCGGUGACACACUAACGGAUUAAGCAUUCCGCCUGGGGAGUACGGUCGCAAGAUUA